AGCUCCAAUAGCGUAUACUAAAGUUGUUGCGGUUAAAAAGCUCGUAGUUGGAUCUUGGAGUGUGAGCGUAUGGUCGAUCGAAAGGUUGUACUGUUCGUCACACUCUUCUGUUCGGUUGCGUGUGCAGUGCCCUUAACUGAGUGCUGUACUCGACCGAAAAUUUUACCUUGAAAAAAUUAGAGUGUUCAAAGCAGACCUGAUUGUGUCUGAAUAUUCGUGCAUGGAAUAAUAAAAUAAGAAUUUGGUUCUAUUUUAUUGGUUUUCGGAACUCGAGUUAAUGAUUAAGAGGGACAGACGGGGGCAUCCGUACUCUGCCGUUAGAGGUGAAAUUCUUGGAUCGGCGGAAGACGUGCAACUGCGAAAGCAUUUGCCAAGAAUGUUUUCU
This 385-nucleotide ribosomal RNA is filed under the name marine Metazoa environmental sample. RNAcentral's name for it is "SSU rRNA". It matches the Rfam family "Eukaryotic small subunit ribosomal RNA", at positions 587 to 972 of the family's 1831-position model. Lineage: Eukaryota; Metazoa. The record is from RNAcentral.